This 433-nucleotide ribosomal RNA is filed under the name uncultured bacterium. Its description in RNAcentral is "partial 16S ribosomal RNA". It matches the Rfam family "Bacterial small subunit ribosomal RNA", at positions 29 to 507 of the family's 1533-position model. The record is from RNAcentral.
AACGAACGCUGGCGGCAUGCCUAACACAUGCAAGUCGAACGAGACCUUCGGGUCUAGUGGCGCACGGGUGCGUAACGCGUGGGAACCUGCCCUUAGGUUCGGAAUAACUCCCCGAAAGGGGUGCUAAUACCGGAUAAUGUCUUCGGACCAAAGAUUUAUCGCCUUUGGAUGGGCCCGCGUUGGAUUAGCUAGUUGGUAGGGUAAAAGCCUACCAAGGCGACGAUCCAUAGCUGGUCUGAGAGGAUGAUCAGCCACACUGGGACUGAGACACGGCCCAGACUCCCACGGGGAGGAAGAAGUGGGAAUAUUGGACAAUGGGCGAAAGCCUGAUCCAGCAAUGCCGCGUGAGUGAUGAAGGCCUUAGGGUUGUAAAGCUCUUUUACCCGGGAUGAUAAUGACAGUACCGGGAGAAUAAGCUCCGGCUAACUCCGUG